CUUUGCUAAGUUGGAGAAGAAGAUUGCACAAAUGAGCCCAACUGAUGUAGAACAUAUGAGGAAAGUAAUUAAAGAGGAGCUGAAGCGACGUGCGGGCAAGGGCAAAUCGUGCAAACUGCAGAUUUUAGUUCCGAGCUAAGAAUUAGACCCAUUGUAACACCCUGACUCCAAAU
Prunus avium (sweet cherry) is the source of this 173-nucleotide non-coding RNA. The record is from RefSeq and is a predicted model, not a curated record. Lineage: Eukaryota; Viridiplantae; Streptophyta; Magnoliopsida; Rosales; Rosaceae.